GCUCAUCACCUUCACCUACGGAUCGUCGAGCACGUACCUGCUCGGAGAAGGAGAAAUUC
Molecule: non-coding RNA, 59 nt
Filed under: unclassified sequences
Description: msiK RNA
Rfam family: msiK RNA
Source: RNAcentral